UACGAAGGGGGCUAGCGUUGUUCGGAAUUACUGGGCGUAAAGCGCACGUAGGCGGAUUUUUAAGUCGGAGGUGAAAUCCCUGGGCUCAACCCAGGAACUGCCUUCGAUACUGGAAGUCUUGAGUAUGGUAGAGGUUAGUGGAAUUCCAAGUGUAGAGGUGAAAUUCGUAGAUAUUUGGAAGAACAUCAGUGGCGAAGGCGGCUAACUGGACCAUUACUGACGCUGAGGUGCGAAAGCGUGGGGAGCAAACAGG
Molecule: ribosomal RNA, 253 nt
Filed under: uncultured bacterium
Lineage: Bacteria
Description: partial 16S ribosomal RNA
Rfam family: Bacterial small subunit ribosomal RNA
Source: RNAcentral